RNAcentral lists this ribosomal RNA (505 nucleotides) under uncultured bacterium. RNAcentral describes it as "partial 16S ribosomal RNA". It matches the Rfam family "Bacterial small subunit ribosomal RNA", at positions 28 to 507 of the family's 1533-position model. The record is from RNAcentral.
GACGAACGCUGGCGGCGUGCCUAAUACAUGCAAGUAGAACGCACAGUUUAUACCGUAGCUUGCUACAUCAUAGACUGUGAGUUGCGAACGGGUGAGUAACGCGUAGGUAACCUGCCUGGUAGCGGGUGAUAACUAUUGGAAACGAUAGCUAAUACCGCAUAAUAUUAAUUAUUGCAUGAUAAUUAAUUGAAAUGUGCAAUUGCACCACUACCAGAUCGACCUGCGUUGUAUUAGCUAGUAGGUGAGGUAACGGCUCACCUAAGCGAAGAUACAUAGCCGACCUGGGGGGGUGGUCGGCCAAAAUGGGAAUGAGAAACGGCCCAGGCCCCCUCCGGGAGGAGCAAGAAGGGAAUCUUGGGAAAGGAGGGAAGGCUGGACGAGCAAAGGCGGGUGGGGGAAGGAGGGUCUCGGAUCCGAAAGAUUUGUUGUAAGGGGAGGAAGAGUGUUGGAAGGGACAGUGCACACUGUGACGGUACCUUAUCAGAAAGCGACGGCUAACUACGUG